AUAAAAGCGAAGACAAGGACAGUAAGUUAGGUAACUUCUUACAGAGAGGAGUCUCUUCGGCUGGAAAGGCUCUAGAAGUUCUGACUGAAAAACACCUUUGAGCUGACUAGUCGAACUUAUUAGUAGACUAGGUCCCCUGUCAGGGUUAUUGACAUAGAGUGAGUCACUUUUCAUAGUGACUAACAGGGGUGGUACCGCGGAUAACUUCCGUCCCCGAC
Molecule: non-coding RNA, 218 nt
Filed under: Natranaerobius trueperi
Lineage: Bacteria; Bacillati; Bacillota; Clostridia; Natranaerobiales; Natranaerobiaceae
Description: T-box sequence
Rfam family: T-box leader
About the family: Uncharged tRNA acts as the effector for transcription antitermination of genes in the T-box leader family.
Source: RNAcentral